Acipenser ruthenus (sterlet) is the source of this 4538-nucleotide long non-coding RNA. RefSeq lists it as uncharacterized. The transcript has 3 exons. NCBI's taxonomy places the organism in Eukaryota, Metazoa, Chordata, Actinopteri, Acipenseriformes, Acipenseridae. The record is from RefSeq and is a predicted model, not a curated record.
UGUUCCUCCCAUCUCUCCACCCCCCCACUUUCCUUUCCUGGGGGGCUCCCAUCUCUCUCUCUCUCUCCAACCAGCCUUCUUUCUCAGCACUUUAUUUACUCACACACGUUCAUCUCAGCCACUUCACUCAUACCAAGCACAAUCCACUAGCUCAAGCCACACAGCUCUUGCUAUAUAAUAUAUAAAGAGUUCAAUUGUUAUUUAUAACUCAUAUAAUUAGUCCAAAGUCUAUUUGUGGUUUGGUUUUAUUACAGUAUAUUUCUAUCUUAAAAUGAUAAAAAAUAUUAUAUUGUCACCAAAGUGGUCAUUGAGGAUUACAUGGUUAAUGUUUUAUACAAUUUAAUUCUUUAAAAUAAAAAAAUAUAGAUCUAUAUAUAUAUAUUACACAUAACUUUUGAUUUAUUCCUCACAAAUCAGUAAUUUUACAAUUCAGGAUAAUUGGGAUAUAUGCUAAUUACAUCAUUCCAAUAGCUAUUUAUAAUUCGUAUAACUGCGUAAAAUUCAAUUUAGGGUUAUUACUCAUUAAUUUAUAUAUUAAAAUAAGUUCAAAUAUUAUAUUGUUACCAAAACGGCGUUUGUGGAUAAUAUAUGUUCAAUGUUUUAUACAAUUUUAAUUAUUAAAAAUAUAUAUUUAAUUUAAAUAUAUGUACCUUUCCAGUUAAGUGUCACAAAUUGAAUUAUGGGUAAUAUGAAAAUAUAUGGGAUAUGGAGAAACCCAUUGAAUUAUUCUGCCGUAAAUACCGCAAUUAACCACCAGGGGGAGAUGUUCGGAAACUGCAUGCAAUCUUGUAUUUGACCAAAUGUAAACAAUUAUCAUUUUGUCUACGAACAUCCGAUCCAGACGCAUGAUACGUCUUUGGAAAGCCACAAAACGGCUUUUUUAUAUAAAAAAAAUAACCCCUGCAUAUUGAGCUACAGGGCACAGCACGAGCAGUGAAACCAGGGUCCCCACAGACUUCUAUCAGGCGCGUUCACGGUCAUAACAAAGCCUACGUCAGCAUGCGCGCUUCACAGAAUGUCCGCCCCCAUGCUUGCCUGGAGUUUCACAUCGCAAUAGGAUUCUCCUCAGGUCUGUGAGGAUGAGAAGGUCUCCACAGUCUGGAGUCUGGUCUCUGACAGGCUCAACAUACCUGUCAAUCAACAGGGACUCCUCUACAAAGGCAAGGCGCUGGCAGGUAGGCUGAACAGCACAGCACAGCACAGCUCACCCCUCCUCUCACCCCUCGCCUCAUCCCUCCUCUCACUCCUCGCCUCACCCCGGGUCAGUGUGGCACAGCCUGCCUGCUCUUCUGAACAAACACUUCAGCCCUGCCGACGCAGUGAGAGUCUGGAGCAGCAACACAAGGUAACCUGAACACAAACACACACACACACACAGACACACACAAACACACACACAGUGAGAGGCUGGAGCAGCUACACAAGGUAAAUUGAACACAAUAAACACGGCUACACACACAAUCCUAGCUGCAGCAGAUGUACAAUGUUAUACAGACACACACAGACACAGCUGUACAGUGACACCGAGACGCACACACAAUCACAGCUGCAGCACACACACUCUGAAAUGCAGGUGUAGAGCAGCGUGUAGUUGUGACUCUGUGUCUCUCUCCUCCCCCUCUCCUCUCCUCUCCUUACUUUGUUUAAAAGAAUAGAAGCACACCCAGUGAGCAAGGCAUUGAGCAGCCCCACAUCCCGCUUCACAAUACCGCUACAUAUUGACUGACUGUUCGCAUUGUGUGUGUUUGGUAAGACAAACCACAUUUUCUACUUCUACUUUCUACGAUUGGGCAAGUCAGCGGUUGUUUGAUAACAGAACAUAAAACAUCACAGAGUGGGUUGAACUGCAUUGCUGGAAAUCAAGGCCCUUUAAAAUGUGUACCUUCCCAGCUCAGGUAUUGCUGAGGUAAAGAGACACUUCCUACAGGAGGACAGGACGUUGUCAAGGAGGGGAUGUCGUCACGUGUCCUGAGGGCUUUCUUAAAAACAUUGUUUUAUUAUUUCUAAGCGUACGUUGUUAUUGCCUUUUAGCUCUUGAGCAUAAUAAUCUCAAUCCCGUUUGAAAUGACACUAAGUGCAUUUGCAUGGUGGCAGAUGAGGGAUGUCGCUUCACUCAAGGCUUGCGUACUGAUGAAGAUGUAGUUUCAGUGUUUAAUGCUCAUCCCCUCACUGUGUGUCUGUGUGUGUUCUUGUCUCUCGCCUGUCCUGUGAGGAUGAAGAUGUAGUUUCAGUGUUUAAUGCUCAUCCCCUCACUGUGUGUCUGUGUGUUCUUGUCUCUUGACAGGUCUGUGAGGAUGAGAAGGUCUCCACAGUCUGGAGUCUGGUCUCUGACAGGCUCAACAUACCUGUCAAUCAACAGGGACUCCUCUACAAAGGCAAGGCGCUGGCAGGUAGGCUGAACAGCACAGCACAGCACAGCACAGCACAGCUCACCCCUCCUCUCACCCCUCGCCUCGCCCCUCCUCUCACCCCUCGCCUCACCCCUCCUCUCACUCCUCGCCUCACCCCGGGUCAGUGUGGCACAGCCUGCCUGCUCUUCUAAACAAACACUUCAGCCCUGCCGACGCAGUGAGAGUCUGGAGCAGCUACACAAGGUGAUGAAGUGACACUUUGAAUAUGGGGCCUGAUGAGAGAAGUAUCCUUUUCAUGUGGUUUUGGUUUUGCCGUUGUGAGCAGGUAUGGGAGACAGCACCGUGUCUGCAUGUGAAAUAACAAAGUCAUCGCAGUGGAGGGACUCUCUGAAGGCUGCUGUUUGUGGAUUUGUCUUGUAAUGUGAGUGAUCUACUGUACUGUGAUGCCACUGUCUGUACGCACGCUGCACUGCAGGGGAGACACCGCUGGCAUUCACAGGGCAUGCUUGUUCAUUUAAAGCACGCUGCACUGCAGGGGAGACACCAACCUUCUGGACAAAGCCAAAACAGAUAGAGGAGUGACCAAAGUGAUCCUAUCAUUCGGAAUCAACAACAAGGACCAGAAAGUCAAAGAGACAGCUAUCAAAAACCUACAAAGGAUGUACAGGUCAGCAAAGACAACCUUCCCAACUGCAGAAAUCAAAGUGCCACUGGUGAACUUCUCACGAGCACUAGACAUGCAGGCCCAACGGAACUUGGAAGAACUAAACGGAUUCAUCUCAGCCAACCUACCACACAUACCGCUAUUACCAACUGAGAAAUUUCAAGUAGGCGGAGACAACAUCCACUGGACAACCAACACAGCCAAAGAUAUGCUCCAGCACUGGUGCCAGCAUUUAAACUAGGAGACCCCACAAGCCCAAAUAUCUCCAGGGAGGGGGCAUCCAACAUAGUCAAUCUAUGUAAAUACUUCACACCAACAGAGAGUCAAAACAGCCUUUUGAGCAAAGGCCUCUCCUUCAUACCCACACCGCAAACUGAAGCAAAACAGAAGCAGACACUGCGAGCAGAAACACAAGACUACCAUAGGAGGCUAAAAAUCACAACCUUCUUUGAAGAGGAAGGAGACUCAAAUCACAUACCCUUCCUACCCAAAUCCAACUGGGAACCAAAUAACAACCAAGUUCCCCAGGAAAUCACAGAGAUUAUUCUUGAAGAUCUAAAAACAAUACACAGCCUGAACCCAGGUAACUACAGAACAGAAGACAACCUAACAGCACCAGAAAGGAUUGCACUUAAGGAAUUACAAAAACAUACCGACAUCAUUUUCAAACCAGCAGACAAGGGAAGUUCAAUAGUAAUAAUGGAUAGAGAAGACUACAUCUUUGAAGCCAACAGACAACUAAAUAAUCAAGAACACUACAGGAAAUUAGAUGCACCAAUUUAUCUUGAUUCUGCUCAGGAAAUUAACAGAAUAAUACAAACACUAACAGACCACAAAAUAAUUACUAGAAAACAGGCACACUAUCUCAAGGGGGCAGACACACCCAGAGCACGCAUUUUUUACAUGCUACCAAAAAUACACAAAUCACCAGACACAUGGACUAUCCCACACACCAUACCACCAGGCAGACCGAUAGUAUCGGAUUGCAACAGUGAAUCAUAUAGAAUUGCAGAAUACAUAGACCACUUUUUAAACCCCCUAUCCACCAAACACACUAGCUACCUUAAAGACACAUAUGACUUCAUAGACAAAAUUAAAACACUCAAACUACCAGAAACAGCUUUUCUCUUCACAAUAGAUAUAGACAGCUUGUACACAAACAUAGAGACCAACACAGGCAUUGCAGCUAUCAGGAAAUGUCUAAAUCUAAAUCCGGAUCCAACCAGACCAGACGAGGAACUGAUCAAACUCCUGGAAAUCAGCUUAAGGAAAAACGACUUUGAAUUCGACAACCAAUUCUACCUCCAAACCAAAGGAACAGCGAUGGGGAAACGCUUUGCUCCAUCAUAUGCUAACAUCUACAUGGCCGAUUGGGAAGAAACAAUCCUCCCCAGAUGCCCACACAGACCAACUCACUAUUUCAGGUACCUAGAUGACAUUUGGGGCACUUGGACACAUAGCAUGGAGGAAUUUACACAUUUCAUCUCGUUACUUAACACACACCACCAGUCCAUCAAGGUAAA